UGGGGAAUAUUGGACAAUGGGCGAAAGCCUGAUCCAGCCAUGCCGCGUGUGUGAAGAAGGUCUUCGGAUUGUAAAGCACUUUAAGUUGGGAAGAAGGGCAUUAACCUAAUACGUUAGUGUUUUGACGUUACCGACAGAAUAAGCACCGGCUAACUCUGUGCCAGCAGCCGCGGUAAUACAGAGGGUGCAAGCGUUAAUCGGAAUUACUGGGCGUAAAGCGCGCGUAGGUGGUUUGUUAAGUUGGAUGUGAAAUCCCCGGGCUCAACCUGGGAACUGCAUUCAAAACUGACUGACUAGAGUAUGGUAGAGGGUGGUGGAAUUUCCUGUGUAGCGGUGAAAUGCGUAGAUAUAGGAAGGAACACCAGUGGCGAAGGCGACCACCUGGACUAAUACUGACACUGAGGUGCGAAAGCGUGGGGAGCAAACA
RNAcentral lists this ribosomal RNA (427 nucleotides) under uncultured bacterium. RNAcentral's name for it is "partial 16S ribosomal RNA". It matches the Rfam family "Bacterial small subunit ribosomal RNA", at positions 355 to 774 of the family's 1533-position model. The record is from RNAcentral.